This 64-nucleotide transfer RNA is filed under the name Russelliana sp. Its description in RNAcentral is "tRNA-Ala". Lineage: Eukaryota; Metazoa; Arthropoda; Insecta; Hemiptera; Psyllidae. The record is from RNAcentral.
UAGGGUUAAAGUUUUAUUCUAAAUAAUCAUUUUGCACAUGAUAGAGACAAUUUUUGUUAACCUA